GGGGUUAAGCCGGUUCUGGGGGCCCCGGGAGCAGCAGCCGCCGCCGCCGCCGCCGCCGCCGCAGCAGCAGCAACUCCACCAGCAGCGGUGCUGGCAGGCCUGGCCCCGGGCCAGCUGGCCAGGAGCCCCAGGAGGCAGUGAGGGCGGAGGAAGGGGAGGAAGAGGGGAAGGAGGAGGAGGAGGAGGAGGAGGAGAGGAGCAGUCAGCAGGCCCGAGGAGGCAGGACUUCCUGGUGUGGGGGUUGUCAACAGCCCAGAAAGAGAAAGGCAGAGAGACAGAACCGAGAGGAGCUGAGAAGCGAAGAGAGACCCAGCCGUGCCACGCGGAGGAGUUUUGGGAGACCCACUCGCCCCAACCACCCAGGCGGCUCCACCUGGAGGAUCGGGGGCGGGGGGCGGGGGGGGGGGCAGAGCCGCCUCUUCCCGCACCGGUCUGGAGACCCUUGGGGCUUCAGAGGCCGCGCCUGGGUUCCACCAAGGAGGCGGGGGAUCCUUCUUUUCCGGAGAGCAAACUUUUUACUGAGAUGCCUUGUGGGGCAAAGUGCGGUCCCCGAAGAGAACUGGACAGCCUCUGAUUCCCGCCUGCGCCCCCCGCGCUGCUGGGGCCAAGAGGCCCCAGGGGAAGGACAACCCGACAUCUUAGGCGGCCGGGACCCCCGGCCCAGCUCGGUGGCCGAGGCCGAGAGUUUGCAAACUCAGCUCUGGAGUUGGGCAGCGCCAGCGGCAGGAAAAACCUGCCCCUGCCCCCACCUCCUGCCGCCUCCCCUGCCCUGUGCUCCCUUCACCAACCCAGCACCCCCAGUUCCUGCAGGGCCCUCCGGCCAUGUCGGACCCAGAUGUCCCCAGGGGCCCUGAUGCCCCCGCCAUGUGGCCCCCCUGUUCCAGGGGUGCCUGAGCCCCUUCGAGGAGCCCCAGCUGCACCCCCGCCCACCUUGGCCGAGUCCUAGCCCCAGAGACCAUGAGUGGGGGCAAGAAGAAGAGUAGUUUCCAAAUCACCAGCGUCACCACGGACUAUGAGGGCCCAGGGAGCCCAGGGGGUUCUGAGCCCCCUGCCUUGCCCACCCCCACUGGGCCCCCACCCCGCCUGCCUAAUGGGGAGCCCAACCCCGAGCAGGGGGGCAAGAGCACCCCCCGGAAUGGCUCCCCACCGCCUGGGGCCCCUGCCUCCCGUUUCCGGGUGGUAAAGCUGCCCCACGGCCUGGGAGAGCCUUACCGCCGAGGCCGUUGGACGUGUGUGGAUGUUUACGAGAGAGACCUGGAGCCCCCAGGCUUUGGCCGGCUCCUGGAGGGAAUUCGAGGGGCCUCAGGAGGCACUGGGGGCAGAUCUCUGGAUUCCAGGUUGGAGCUGGCCAGCUUGGGCCUGGGUGCCCCAACUCCACAGCCAGGCCUGUCUCAGGGCCCCACCUCCUGGCUCCGUCCGCCCCCCACCUCCCCUGGACCUCAGGCCCGCUCCUUAACCGGGGGGCUGGGCCAGCUGGCAAUGCCUGGCAAGGCCAAGGUGGAGACACCCCCACUGUCAGCCUCCCCACCCCAGCAGCGCCCCCCAGAGCCCCGGACUGGGGAUAGCGCGGGCCCAUCCCGGGCUGCCACGCCCCUGCCAUCCCUGAGGGUGGAAGCGGAGGCUGGGGGCUCAGCAACAGGGACCCCUCCCCUGUCCCGGUCAAAGGAUGGAGCCCUGCGGCUGAGGAUGGAGUUGGUCGCUCCAGAGGAGAUGGGGCAGGUGCCCCCCCUCGACUCUCGCCCCGGCUCCCCAGCCCUUUACUUGUUCCCCGAUGCCAGUCUGGUUCACAAGUCUCCAGACCCCUUUGGAGCAGCAGCAGCCCAGAGCCUCAGCCUGGCCCGCUCCAUGCUGGCCAUCAGUGGCCACCUGGACAGCGAUGAUGAUAGCGGCUCCGGAAGCCUGGUUGGCAUUGACAACAAGAUCGAACAAGCCAUGGUUUUCUUCUGGAAACAAAAAGCUAAGUCAACCUUCUUGGAACACCAUGAUUCCCAGAAAAGUGUAUUGAAGGUGGAGAAGACUCCCAAGGUGGUUGAGACUUUCAAGUUGGUUGAGCCCUGCAAAGAGGCUAAGAUUUCCAAGAUGGUGGAGUCCCCCGAGGUGGCUGAUGCCUGCGAGUUGGCCAAAGCAACAGAUAGGGCUAAGGUGGAGCCGGGUCAUAGGGCCCGAUCCCUGCUGCAGCUGCCCCGGACAGCUGUCAAGUCUGUCUCCAUGCUCAUGGUCUCGGCCCUGCAGAGCGGCUGGCAAAUGUGCAGCUGGAAGUCAUCUGUGAGUUCUACCUCCAUUUCCUCCCAAAUGAGGUCUGGGUCCCCAGUGGAUACGUCGGAAGCUGAGAUGCUGCGGGAAGUGUACCUGAUACUGUGGGUCAUUCGGAGACAACUGCGACAGCUGGCCCGCAGGCAGGAGAGGCGGAGGCGGCGCCACAUCCGGGCCCACACUGGCUCCCAGCCUGACACGGCUCAGGGCCUGAAACAGGAUGCCCGGAGUCCCCUUUAGGGGGGAACCCCACAUCCUCAAAAAGCCCCACCUCAGUCUUAGGUAAGGUUGAUAGGAGAGGUUAGGACAGCAGGCCAGGAGUUGUGUGUGAGAAGUUUUCAUACUGUCACCUCUCUCAUCGGGAGCCUAAGCCCAGGUGUGGGGUCCCACUUAUUCCCCUUCAUUCCAUUUAUUCAAUUUGUAAAAAAAAAAAAAAAAAAAAAAAAAUUAUCAAAAGUUGGGAAAUAAAUAUCAGAUAUUUCUGAGUAAAUAAAUGGAGAGUGUGUUUGUGGAUAGCCAGAAGCAAUGAGGGGAACUCGGAGGGGGGCACCUCAGGUCCCGCCCCAAAUAUGCGUGGCAGAAAUUUGUGGGCUUGGGGGAGGGGGCUUUGGGGGGAUCGACACAUCCAGGCCCUAGGCCCAAACCCACCUCCAGGGGCUGAAUUGCCUUUGGCGACCCUGCCAGGCCGGGAGUGCAGCAGCACCCUUUACAGAGACACGCCACCUCGCAUCAGGUCCUGAGCCCAUGCUCUCCGGGGCAAUCUUACAAGAUGGGUGUUUUGCAGAGGUUAAGUGGCUUGUGUAAAGCCGGAGGGCAAAGAUCUGCUGGAAACUGCCGGCUCCAGCGGCCAGCGCACUGACGAGCCCCUCUGGCGCUCGAGGGCUCCGCCGCAGCGAGGUUGGUGGGUCCGAAGACUCCUACCCGGGAGCCGGACAAGCGAAGGUGGGGAAGGCACGCAGGCCCAGCUGGCCGCGCCCCUGCCGAGAGCGGCGCAAAACUACACCUCCCAGGGUUCCCAGCGGCGCCACGGGCGGGGGCGGGGGCGCGGGGACGCAGGGGAGACCUGGGGUGGUGCCGCGGCUGGGCAAAGGCGCCCCAGGGCCGAGAGUCCUGCUUCCCGAAGCGGCAAGACUGAGGUUAACUGAAGGAGAAGAUUGUACAUCCCAGGGCUGAAAAUGCUGUCUGCCCCUUGCUGGAGCUGCCUAUCUGUCCCGUGGGGUCAUUCUGGGGUGCUGGGAAUGGCCUAAGGGCUUCACGGAGUGCCGGGGUUGACUUCUAGAGACAAGCAAAACCCUCAGGGGGCAGAUAAUUAGCAGUGCACAAGAGAUACAGCCAACUCAGAAAAACCCAUCCUUCCUGGCUGUGUGACCUUGAACAACAGGUGCAUCUGCCAUCCUACACCGAAUUUGGCUUUCUACAGGACCAUGGAGGUCUUCAUAGAGCCUGGCCCAAGGGAUCUACUCUCUUCUGAUGGAUAGUGCUCUGUGACAUGACCUGAUGCUGCUCCUCAGUGCGACCUGUACCUGUUAACAAGUACGUGCUUACAUGUGUGUGUGUUGGGGGUCAUCUCAUCGGCCAAAGCAUAACUACCCCUUGCAGGUGAGAGUGUCUUGUAAGCAAGAUGAGAUUUUCCUGGUGGGAUUUCUGGGGAGUACAGGACAAGUGGAUGAGCCCUAUGAACCAGGCAUGUUGAUCCUCCAAGAAGAGGACUCCCCCCACCCUCCCAGAACCACACUGGGCACCCUGCAGAUUUGAGGGUGGGCAGAGAAGAUCUGGAGAGGAUGGAUAUGGUCUCAGGAACAUCCAGCUCACUGCAUGGAUGCCUCCAGCGCCAAGUGGGGCAGAGAUGAUGCUGGGAGUGGAGUGAUAGAAGCUGGCCUAGGAUCUAGAGAAGAGGAAGAGAAGGAUAUGGAGGACCAGUCUCUUGGAAAUGGAGGAGGGGGGAGAUAUCUAGGCUGCAUUGGGUAAGGGGGAACACCCUGAGCUGAGACCACUGGCCUGAAGGUAGAGAAGGAAGAGGAGAUUUUGAUCAGAUUGGGGAACCCUGGUCUUGGUGCCCAAUGUCCCAGCUUAGCUUCGGGCCAUGGUGGGGCUCUCUUGGAAUGAUGGCUUCCCAUUCCAGGGCUUCUCCUGUUCCUCCAUUUGACCUGUGCCCUGUGUUACCUCAGUUCCUUGCUCGCUGGAUGACUCCCAAAGCACGGAGCUUGCUCCUGGCAGGAGAUCUGACCUGCUCCACCGCUCCAGCUCUCACUGCACCCACUUUAUGCUUCUAGGGUUUUCUCUUUUGCCAAGAAGCGGUUGAUCUCCAGCAUCCAUCCUCAGACCUGCCACUUUUAAGUUGCAUCAGGAUACUCGCUGCUUCCUGCGGUGCCUGUGCCUCCAGUACACCACCUGUCUGUCUCCCGCGUCCCACUCUUCCUCCUCCUGUCUUUAUCUGUUUCCCUUGGUAACUCUCUGGAGCCGGGGGAAGCCUUCUCAGGACAAGAUGGUCCUUCAUGACCAGAUCCUUCUCACCAAGGGGCCUCCAAUCUCAGCCCUCCAAGGGAUGGGGAUGCUGCCAAGGCUGAUAGCAGACUGCCCAAUGUGGGGCCGAACUCAUGAACCGGGAGAUCACAACCUGAGAUGAAGUUGGUCAUUUAACCAACCGAGCCCCCCAGGCACCUCCGUAAUUUAACUAUUUACCUGGUGAAGGACAUUUGGGUUGUUUCAAGUUCUUGGCUAUUAUGAAUAAAGCUGCUAUAACCAUG
This is an RNA transcript of Leopardus geoffroyi (Geoffroy's cat), 5000 nucleotides long. It is a transcript of the gene named TSC22 domain family protein 4, with no coding region annotated. The record is from RefSeq and is a predicted model, not a curated record. NCBI's taxonomy places the organism in Eukaryota, Metazoa, Chordata, Mammalia, Carnivora, Felidae. The transcript has 11 exons.